This 914-nucleotide long non-coding RNA is filed under the name Medicago truncatula (barrel medic). RNAcentral describes it as "lncRNA gene36621". The record is from RNAcentral. Lineage: Eukaryota; Viridiplantae; Streptophyta; Magnoliopsida; Fabales; Fabaceae.
UUUAUCCCCAACCUCACACUUUUUAGAAGCUUUUUUUUUUUUAGCUAUAAAGGGUAUAGCUAAGAUGCUAUCACCCUUAAUAUAUAUAUAAUUUUGAGCAAAACAUAAUUAAUGCAUUUCAUUAAUAAUUAUAGAGUACACAUCAUGUGGUACAAUAUAAAAGAUAUGGGGGCUAGGAUGAGAUAAGGAUGUUGUAGCUAUGCUAUGUGCAACCUUAUUUGGUUGCCUCCGAAUGAACGACACUACAAAGUCGAAAGUAGACAAGAGGCCCCUACUCUGAACUAGCAGGUCCCCAAGCUCGUUGUGUAAAGGUGAAGAAUAGUUUAUGGCAUCUGCAAGUGACUUGUUGUCUGUUUCAAACAUAACAUUGUGGUAACCAAGUGGAAUAGUCGUGUUGAUUGCUGCAAGCAAUGCAAUAGCUUCUACUUCUAGGACUGAUACUGAGGAGUGAAUGUGGGCAGAAUUCCCCAUCAAGAAGUGGCCCAAAGAGUUCUGGAAACACAUUUUGUAUCCUACCGUGUUAUUGUGGAAUAUUGCAACGUCUACAUUACAUUUUAUCACACCAGAUGGUGGUAUUGUCCAAGAGGUAGGGUACUCCACAUUCGGGACAUCGGGUUUUAUUCUUUGCAUACAACUCCAUUCGUGAAGGUUCUUUUUCACUUGCGAGAAGGUGAAGGACGAAGUUGUGUCUGAAGCCUCCCAAAGUUUUGUGUUUCGUCUCUUCCACAAACUCCAACAUAACAUGGAGGUUGUUUGUUGUUGGUAUAGAGAUAACCUGUUAAGAAAAUCAAACAAUAUAGAAGUGAAAUCAUUAGCUUGUUGGAGCAACUCACGGAUUUGAUUUCCCAUGCCAAUAUGAUCCCAACAUUCCAUAGCCUUGGAACAAACAAAGAAAAGGUGCAUGUGAGUUUCAG